RNAcentral lists this long non-coding RNA (5239 nucleotides) under Homo sapiens (human). RNAcentral's name for it is "HSALNT0312516". The record is from RNAcentral. Lineage: Eukaryota; Metazoa; Chordata; Mammalia; Primates; Hominidae.
AAUUCCCCAUCCUGGAGGACUUGGAAAGCAGGGUUUAACACUACGACUGUUGCCAUGUUUCUCCCUUUGAGAAAAGAAUGAAAGGACAAGAAAGAAUUCUUUCUAGCUUUCUAUCCCAAGUGACCUUGGUUAGUUACAUGGUAGUGUUGCCUCAGGACAAUGGAUCAUUCAUCUCCCUGACUCCCAGGUCCAACAGGGGACACAGAAGAGACAGAUGCCUUGCCUGCGUUCACCUGGAGAAAGUUUGUUUAGAUGACAGAAUAACCCUGGGUAUAUUCCAGCUCAGCAAGCUUGAAAUGACUCUGGGGACUUGGCCUGGCCAAAGCACAGUUCUGAAAUCUUUUCUUUGUUGUCGAAUUGUUAGAGUUUUAACAAUGAAGCUAAAGGGGUUGCUUUUAGUGAGAGGUAGGAGAAUAAAACUUCACAGGGGCACAGCAAUUAGCGUGUGGACUAGAUCCCUAUGACGGAGAAAAACCUGCAGCAUUUUGUAAGAUGAUUUAUUAGACAUGGGUAGAAUUUGCUAGAAACCUACCAGGAGCAAAUCAUCUGGGAAGGAAUUAAUGAUCCAAACAAAACACUUGAUAAUGCAAUUAGAACUUGAGGAAACGUAGGGGUUUUUCAGAGAGAGAGAGGGGAGUUCAUGUACAUGACUUUGAUUAUGUCAAAUGUAAGGCUGGAAAAAGGAUGUUAACAAGUUUUUAAAGAGUAAAGUUAUCAGAGGGUACAAGGAGAUGACGGGGGUGACAUUUAUAGUUCUGAUGCAUCAGUGUAGUUAUCAAGUGUGCCCAGCUGGGUGGAAAUGCACUUGCAGCUUUGUCUCAGCAAAAUGGUGUGUGGGUCUGAGAAACAGAAAUGAGCAUGCUGGAGGCAAAAAUACGGAUCCCCUGCACACGCAACGGCAGAGAACAGCCACCAGGAGAACGCGGUGUUUUUCUUUAGUUGCUUUAGGCAACACUAAGUUUCCCCCUGCUUUUGUUUGGGUCAGGGAUUUUUUUUCCUUUAAAUCUUUUCUCAGUUGAGUUUAAAACUGUGAGUAUGAAGCUCUCUAAGCUUUUCUUUGACCUCGUUUCAUCGUGCCUUACAGAUGAGCUCAUUGAAAAACGUGUUUUGCAGCGGUACCAUCCGCUGAGUAUGUCCAGAGGACAUUUCUGGCCAUAUACGUGUCUUAAUUGCUAUCGCAGGCUUGGCAUAUCAACUAUAUCUGGGUCUAACAUAGGCUAUCUUUUGUUGAUAUAAACAUAUAUGUUUUUAAAUGUGUAAUUUGAAAAUAUGUUCCCUUCAUCAGCUUUUUAGUUUGGAGGGGGAUGUGGUUAACAUUUUUAAUGACUUUCCAAAACAUUUCUUCUUUAAAAUAUACAUUGCAGAGUCAUACACCACCAUCCACACAGAGCUUUCAUACUUUCCUAAGUGUUUUCACUUGCUUUAGCUCCAGGAAUAUGUGUCAAACUUGGGAUAGCCCCUUAGAAACAUGGCCCUCUCUGGAUACGAGACAGUGUAGGACACAGAUGCACAUUAAAGUAUUAUCAGUGAAAUGCUUUUCCUAGAAAUCCAUGACUCCUUCUGUCUUGGAGACUAUGCCUGGCUGACACUGACUGCUCCAUAUUGAGAUGACUCAGGAAGCCCAGCCUGGCCAUCGUAACUGGGUCCCAUCCUCUGUUUUGUUCCCCUUGCACUUGGCACUGGCCACCCCAAGUGCUGGCUGCGCUGGUGCAUUUUCAUCUGUGUGAUAAAACUUGGUGGAUGUUUUCCUCCAUCUAAGACCAGGACCUUGUUAGUUGGACCACUGCAGUCCUGCCAGUGGAUGCCCCUACUUGGCACACUGGAGGUGUCCAAUAAAUACCCUACUGAACAAAUACUGAAUCUGAGAAUUUUCCCUAAAAGUACUGCAUAUUUCCACCACCAUAUAUUGUUUUUAAGAAGCUUUGGCUUUACAUACUUCUGUUGAAACCCUUAUUCUCCACUGUUCCUUUCAAGAAAAUGAUGUAGCACCAAUGAUCUCUGAAGAUGUCCACAUAAGUUGACCUUUCUGGAUCUAUUCCCAUCAUUUUAACUGUCCCCCAAGAGACUUUCAACCCAUAAAGAUGACCCUCUUUGACCCAAUUUUGGAAGCCUGGCUGCCCCCACCUUCUCUAGAAAUGCUGGCUUUUUCCUUCAACCCCUAGAUUGGCCUAUUAGACAAUAGAGUCAUCUCCCCAUAUCCAUGAGAUAUUGGCUCCAGUAUCUUCCCAAAUCCAUGAAUUCUCAAGUUCCUGAUAUAAAAUGGCACACAGAGUAUUUGCAUCCUCCCAUAUAGUUUAAAUCACAUGGCCAUAUACUUGUCCUAAUUGCUAUUGUAGGCUUGGCAUACCAACUACAUCCUCCCAUAUACUUUACAUCACCUCUAGAUUAUUUAUAAUACCUAAUACAAUGCCUACAUCAUGGGAAUUCAACAUAGUACUGGCAUGUGGCAAAUUCAAGUUUUGCUGUUUGGAACUUUGUGGAAUUAUUUUUUCCAAAUAUUUUUGAUCAUCAGUUGGUUGAAUCCACAGAUGAAGAACCCAUAGAUAUGAAGUGCUGACUAUAUGCCCACAUAAAGAGCCUACACUGUGCCAUACGGGUUCCAGAUACACUCACACACACAUUAAAGCUCACCUGGACACUCCUAACACCCUAGGAGAAACAGCUCAUAUUCCUGAGCUUCAGAAGAAGAGUUUAAGGUUCAGAGAGGCCCAGAGACUCUUCCGGGGUCACUCAAUGGCAGAGCCAUAAAAAGAACCCAAGCCUUCCCCUUUUACAACUGAGGCUCUGAGGGAGAGGGAGGUCCUCUGAAGUAGGACAUGAACACUGUGAGCAAGUGGCUAUUUUAACCUGUCCCUCAGCACAGCAUAUGACCCGGAGAACAUAGUAGGCACUCACUAAAUGCUGCCUUUAAGACAAUCAGGUGGUUCUAGACUGUGGUAACUUGCAAAUGGAAUCCUUCUCCUGCUUUAACAAAACAGGAUGAACUUCCACUUGAGCAAGAUAUAAGAUAUCACCUUGAUACCUCAAUUUAACUGCUAAAGCUACAAAACUACUUCAAUUUUUUUUGAGACAGAGUCUUGCUCUGUUGCCAGGCUGGAGUGCAGUGGCAUGAUCUCGGCUCACUGCAACCUCCGCCUCCCAGGUUCAAGCGAUUCUCCUGCCUCAGCCUCCCAAGUAGCUGGGACUACAGGUGUGUGCCACCACGACCAGCUCUUUUUUUGUAUUUUUAAUAGAAACGGGGUUUCACCAUGUUGGCCAGGAUGGUCUCGAUCCCCUGACCUCGUGAUCUCCCCGCCUCAGCCUCCCAAAGUGCUGGGAUUACAGGCGUGAGCCACCGUGCCUGGUCAAGUACUUCCAUUUUACAGAGGAGAAAACUGGGCGGAGUUUCUUGUUUGGGUCUUUAUAUGAUGUUUCUGCAGUAGAACCACAUUCCUUUAGAGCCUUUACCCCACAUUGUAAUUAUAUUCUCAGCAGUGUAGUAUUUAACUUCUGACCCCAUCUCUCUCUAGAAUGUAAGCCCCUUGAGGGCAGGGACUUUUCUUUCCAUUGUACUACACUGGAACAUUCCUCCAGAACACUAGAGGGAGAUGCCCACUAAUGUCUUUUAAUGGAAUGAGUGACAGGAUGAGUGAGGGAGCCUGCCCAAAGUCACUGGAGUCAGACAGUCCUGUGUUAUGAUCUUGUCUCUGCAACUUACCAGCUGUGUGACUCCAGGCUGCUUUGUCAACUACUUUAACCCUCAGCUGUCUCAUCUGUGAAAUGGAAAUAAUAACUGUAUCUAUACUUUUAAGGGGCUGUGUGAGAAAUACAUGAGCUUUUGGAUAUAACUCAUGCAUUUAAAGCCUGUGCAGGAUAAGUAACACUCAAAAGCUAUUUAUCUUUGUUCUUAUGAGGACAGGAAAAAAAAUCACUGAAAUAUUAAUUUGGGUUGGCACUUGUUAAUUCAAGGAUAAAAAAUACAACACUGGAACUGUGUCCUCCCUCCCCUGGCUUUCUUAACCAUGGUUGGAUAUGGAGUAGAGUUGGUUCUGAGACUUCAUGGACAACUUUGAGAAAAAGGAUGCAUGGACCCUUUUGGUCAAUUUCUCAGUGGUGGUUGACUCCCUCCCUUUCCUCUUUGGGGAACAGCCACUACUUCCUGUUCCAAUCCAUGGCGCAACUUGGAACAAAAAGUUCAAGUUAAUUUAACUGGGGAGGGAGAGAUUAGACAGACAUGCUAAACAACUCAAACUUUAAAUACUGGGAAGUUUCCAGGUACUCAGUCCAAUGCUAUAAAUCUUGGAUUUAGAAAGUCGCCAGAGAGAGAAAUAAAAAGGAGAAAAUACCAAGCAAAGGAAACAGAGGUAUCUCUUAUUAAGGAAUUAGUCCAGAUAGGAACUUAUCAAUGGAGGCAGUUAGCUGCAACAUAUAGUAACUAGUAUAUAAAAUGUACAGUAUGUGCAUUACAAGUUAUUCCUGCCAGUCAUCCCCUAACUAGAUAAAAGGAACUUAAUUUUGAAUAUAAAAUACCAUUGUGAUUCUGAGGGGAAAUAGCUGCUGCUUUUCAUCUCCCGCUGCUAACUGAAAUAUUGUUAUGAAGGAUAGUAAUUUCUCUGUUUUGAGACUCCCAAAAUAGAAAACAGCUGCUUGAUAAAGGAAAAUUGGUUCAUAUUCUUUAGAGUUUUACUUUAUUAAAGUGCAUGUCACUUCUAAUGUUAUGUGCCACAACCACUGACACUUUUGGGCAAGGGAGGGGAAUAAUUGUCAUGUGAGGCAAAACAGGAAUGUGUCUGUGUUAUGGUAAACUGCUUAACGCACUGGGAGAAAACUGUUAUUCUCCCAGAUGUCUAACAAAUUACCUCUGUUUUCACUGGUUUAGUGCUGUGAAUAGUAAGCAUUUGUUUGCCGUAUUUGGUUCAUGUGUUGUUUGUUCACAAAAAAAGAUAAACUUUUUGCUUAAGAUUUAUUUAGCUAGAAACAUGUAAACUUAGGAAAUGUGUUUAUAAAAACAUUAGUUCUAACUGUAGUCUUACAGAUGUGUCUUCUUUUACAACAAAUGUUACAGUUUGAGAAAAUCUUUUUACAGAUGAAGAAUGCUUUAUAUAUAUAUUUUUAAAAGUGGCUUUUUGUACUUUUUGUAAAGAUGUUUACAGCCAGCCCACUCCGUCUUCCCCUUAUUAGUAUUUCUGAUUUACUUUCCUUCAGAAUUUGGGGUAGUGGAGGCUUUUAAUAAAAGAUAUUUAUUCUUGGGUCUCCUCUU